UAUGGUUUAUACUCGUAAUGAUCCCUCCGUAGGUGAACCUGCGGAGGGAUCAUUACCGAGUUAUACAACUCAUCAACCCUGUGAACAUACCGUAUAACGUUGCCUCGGCGGGAACAGACGGCCCCGUAACACGGGCCGCCCCCGCCAGAGGACCCCCUAACUCUGUUUCUAUAAUGUUUCUUCUGAGUAAACAAGCAAAUAAAUUAAAACUUUCAACAACGGAUCUCUUGGCUCUGGCAUCGAUGAAGAACGCAGCGAAAUGCGAUAAGUAAUGUGAAUUGCAGAAUUCAGUGAAUCAUCGAAUCUUUGAACGCACAUUGCGCCCGCCAGUAUUCUGGCGGGCAUGCCUGUUCGAGCGUCAUUACAACCCUCAGGCCCCCGGGCCUGGCGUUGGGGAUCGGCGGAAGCCCCCUGCGGGCACAACGCCGUCCCCCAAAUACAGUGGCGGUCCCGCCGCAGCUUCCAUUGCGUAGUAGCUAACACCUCGCAACUGGAGAGCGGCGCGGCCACGCCGUAAAACACCCAACUUCCUGAACUGGCUGAAACAUCG
Molecule: ribosomal RNA, 550 nt
Filed under: Fusarium solani
Lineage: Eukaryota; Fungi; Ascomycota; Sordariomycetes; Hypocreales; Nectriaceae
Description: eukaryotic LSU rRNA
Rfam family: 5.8S ribosomal RNA (bases 208-361)
Source: RNAcentral